UACGUAGGGUGCAAGCGUUGUCCGGAAUUAUUGGGCGUAAAGAGCUCGUAGGUGGUUUGUCGCGUUGUUCGUGAAAACUCACAGCUUAACUGUGGGCGUGCGGGCGAUACGGGCAGACUGGAGUACUGCAGGGGAGACUGGAAUUCCUGGUGUAGCGGUGGAAUGCGCAGAUAUCAGGAGGAACACCGGUGGCGAAGGCGGCGUUCUGGACUGCAUCUGACACUGAAAGACGAAAGCCAGGGGAGCAAACGGG
RNAcentral lists this ribosomal RNA (253 nucleotides) under uncultured bacterium. RNAcentral's name for it is "partial 16S ribosomal RNA". It matches the Rfam family "Bacterial small subunit ribosomal RNA", at positions 524 to 776 of the family's 1533-position model. The record is from RNAcentral.